UACUUUUUCAUUUUAAAAAUUUGUUAGAUCUAAAUUGAAAAAUUUUCUCAAAAAAUUUUCUGCAUCUUUUAUAUUUUCUUGGCAUCCAAACACUCUCUAUUCUUUCAAUUUUGCAAGAAAAUCAUUCUUUCUUCUCCAAGUUCCCACCUAAACUUAGCUCGUUUUUGCUCAGUGGUGCAAAUUCAUAGAGGUUUUCGAACUAAAGGUAAACCUAUUAUUUUCUUAUGUAUUAAUUUUUUAUUAGGUGUUUUUAAUUUGAAUUUUUAUAGAUCUAAGCAAGAAAAUUAAAAAUCCAUGGUUUUAAAACUAUCUUUUGCAUAAAAAUGGUGAAUCUUAUUUUAAAGCGCUAAGAGAUGUUUUUAAAAUGAUUUUUUUAGUAUAUUUUGACAAGAUUAAGAGGUUUACAAAUUCAAUUUAUCAAAAUCUUUAAGUAAUUGCAUGAAUUAAAUGGUUUUCUUUUGAGAAUGAGGAUGAACGAUGGUUUUUUGAGAAAAGUACUGUCUAGUAAAAUUGAGUUGAAUUAUUGGCUUAGAUCUAUAAUUAGGCACAAGUUAGAGGGUUAGGAGGUAGAAAUUAAGGACUUAAUUAAGAUAAAAAGAAGAAAUUAAUCGUAAUAGAUUGUACGAAUUAAGUCGAAUAAGUAUGUGUGAGUGGAGAGCCGAUUUAUGAACACAAAGAGAUAAGUUAGAUUGUUUUUGAAUGCUUAGUAAUAUGUAUAUUUUUGUGUGAAGCUGAAAAUGUUGGUGGGAACCUCAACAAACUGGGAUAAAUGCAAGUACAAAGUUGUCUAGUUCGAUGAGCCGUGGUGAGCUACAGGUGAGUGCAUUUGUAUGUCGUAUUUUAGCAUGAAUUACGAGAUCUAGAGAGUCAAAGUGAAGCUUGCGAACCCCCACUUAUGAUAUGCAAAUUCUUACAAUUUUGUUUGAAUUGUUGGGUAUCCAUGUUGUGCAAAUUUAAAGGUGUGUGUAUAUAUAUAAUAUAUAUAUACAUCUAGGGGUUUUGUUAUUUAUAAUAUGAGAUUUGGUGUUAUAUAUAUAAUAAUAUAUAUGUGUGCAUGGGUGUUAUAUAUAUAAUAUAUAUUAACGUGCAUGGGUGUUAUAUGUAUAAAAUAUUUGCGUGGGUCUGUAUAUACAUAUUACAUAUAUAUGCGUGGUUUCGCUAUACAUAAUAUAUAUGUAUGGGUUUUAUUAUAUAAUAUAUAUAUAUAUAUAUAUAUAUGCAGUUAUAGGUUUUGCAUUAUCUAAUAUAUAUAAAUGUAUAUGAGACUUUUAAUGUAUGCUACAUGUAAGGUGACAAUGGUCACUAAAUAGGUAUGUAUAUAUAAUAUAUAUUCGUAUAUGAUUAUGUAGUACUUGCGAAUGGACAUAAAAAUAAAUAAUAUAAUGCAGACUUUUAUAACAUACGAAUGCUAUUGAUAGUGCACAUUUAUGCAUGCAUGAACCCGGAAGUGAAGUAUGAGUUUUAUGAUAUGACAAGUUCUGAUUAGUGCAAAAUUAUAUUAUUGUGAAAUGCUAAGUGCGAGCUCAAUAGUAGUCCGAGCCCAUUUAUAUUGUGUAAUAAAAUGUGAUUAAUUAGAUAUGUUGGCAAUGUGAAAACUUAAAACCAUUGGAUAUCAUUGGCAUGCCAUAGGAUUGUGAGUACUCACCCUUUUUAUUAUGUGUUAGGCAAUAUGGCCUGGAGAUAGCAUUGGAGAGAUAAGGGAAUGUCGAGCAUAGCUCCAUUCAUUGUAGAUAGAAUACGACUUUAUGAGUCAUUUGGUGUGUUUCAGAGAUCCGUUUAUCCAAUGAGUAUAUAAUUUGACUAUGUUUCAUAUUCACGAAUUACCAAUAUAUCACUGUGUUGAGCAUGUAAUUUGUGUUAUAUGUGAAUUGUUAAAGUAUGUUUAAAUCCAAACAUGCCUGAUGUGUAUAUUUGUGUUGUAUGCAUGUGUACUCAUUGAGCUUCUCCAAGCUCACACUCCUUAUUUUACCUUGUAGAUAAAUAGUUUGUGGGUUAGCGAGGAGGGUGGCAAAUUAGUGAUCCAUCACAAGGCAUGUUUUUUAGAGUAUGUGUGUUGAGCUUUUAAACUCCGAAGUGAAGGCAAUGUGGGUCGUUCCAAGGGUUUAGUACUAGAAUUAGACUUAGACAUUUUAAAUAAAAUUUUCAACGAGUUGUAAUGGACAUUAUGGACUGUUUGUUUUUAGGGGAUUUUUUAAUGUUAUAAUUGCUUGCUUGAU
This 2216-nucleotide long non-coding RNA is filed under the name Gossypium barbadense (sea-island cotton). Its description in RNAcentral is "long non-coding RNA (GBAR_LNC019232)". Lineage: Eukaryota; Viridiplantae; Streptophyta; Magnoliopsida; Malvales; Malvaceae. The record is from RNAcentral.